ACGUAGUUUGAUCAUGGCUACAGAACGACGCUGGCGGCAGGCUUAACACAUGCAAGUCGAGCGCACCGCAAGGUGAGCGGCAGACGGGUGAGUAACGCGUGGGAAUCUACCCAGUUCUGCGGAAUAACACAGGGAAACUUGUGCUAAUACCGCAUAUGCCCUCCGGGGGAAAGAUUUAUCGGAAUUGGAUGAGCCCGCGUUAGAUUAGCUAGUUGGUAGGGUAAAGGCCUACCAAGGCCACGAUCGGUAGCUGGUCUGAGAGGAUGAUCAGCCACACUGGGACUGAGACACGGCCCAGACUCCUACGGGAGGCAGCAGUGGGGAAUAUUGGACAAUGGGCGCAAGCCUGAUCCAGCAAUGCCGCGUGUGUGAUGAAGGCCUUCGGGUCGUAAAGCACUUUUCUAAGAGAUGAGAAAGGACAGUAUCUUAGGAAUAAGUCUCGGCUAACUACGUG
Molecule: ribosomal RNA, 454 nt
Filed under: uncultured bacterium
Lineage: Bacteria
Description: bacterial SSU rRNA
Rfam family: Bacterial small subunit ribosomal RNA
Source: RNAcentral